UUAUGACAGCUAUAGCUAAAAGCUACACAAUAAAGGAGCAAGCAAAUCUUAUGACACCAAAGCUAUAUAGCAAAGACAACAUAUUUACUUCUACAAUUUUAAAUUUAGCGAAGCCCAAAAAAUUUGAGCAGACCCAUAUAUUCAGGUAACUUGAAAAAUAAAAUUUAGCUGGAUUAUAAAAUGUACCUACAGCAUAGGACUACAAACCAAUUACUAACACAAAGAAGCCCAAAAUGUGAAAGUAGGAAGUAGGCAGAAGAGAAAGCAACCAAAUUUCAAACAAAACGACAGUAAGGAUUAAAAAAGAAAAUCAAACAAAUAAGUCAGAGCAAAAAGAAGCAAACUUCAACUUAGCAGCUUUCGGAAAAUGGAGCACGAGCACUCAUUACCUCUAAGAUAGGAAACCAUUAACGAGAAAAUUGACAACAUCAAUCAGUAGACGACAAAGCACUAUUGAAAGGCCAAUCAAUUAGAAUGCAGAGUAGAAUCUAACUGAAAAGCCCAAAUCAAGACCAAAGAAAAGAAACAAGAAAAAGAGAGAACCAUAAAAAGCAUACCAUGGUG
RNAcentral lists this unclassified non-coding RNA (564 nucleotides) under Hevea brasiliensis (rubber tree). The record is from RNAcentral. Lineage: Eukaryota; Viridiplantae; Streptophyta; Magnoliopsida; Malpighiales; Euphorbiaceae.